ACGGAAGGCAGCAGUGGGGAAUAUUGGGCAAUGGGGGAAACCCUGACCCAGCGACGCCGCGUGAGUGAAGAAGUAUUUCGGUAUGUAAAGCUCUUUAAGCGGGGAAGAUAAUGACGGUACCUGCAGAAUAAGCACCGGCUAAAUACGUGCCAGCAGCCGCGGUAAUACGUAUGGUGCAAGCGUUAUCCGGAUUUACUGGGUGUAAAGGGAGUGUAGGUGGUUUGGCAAGCCAGAAGUGAAAACCCGGGGCUCAACUCCGUGGAUUGCUUUUGGAACUGUUGGACUAGAGUGCAGGAGGGGUAAGCGGAAUUCCCAGUGUAGCGGUGAAAUGCGUAGAUAUUGGGAGGAACACCAGAGGCGAAGGCGGCUUACUGGACUGUAACUGACACUGAGGCUCGAAAGCGUGGGGAGCAAACAGGAUUAGAUACCCUGGUA
RNAcentral lists this ribosomal RNA (435 nucleotides) under uncultured Lachnospiraceae bacterium. RNAcentral's name for it is "bacterial SSU rRNA". It matches the Rfam family "Bacterial small subunit ribosomal RNA", at positions 341 to 792 of the family's 1533-position model. Lineage: Bacteria; Bacillati; Bacillota; Clostridia; Lachnospirales; Lachnospiraceae. The record is from RNAcentral.